RNAcentral lists this long non-coding RNA (1339 nucleotides) under Sus scrofa (pig). RNAcentral describes it as "lncRNA (ENSSSCG00030011855.1)". Lineage: Eukaryota; Metazoa; Chordata; Mammalia; Artiodactyla; Suidae. The record is from RNAcentral.
AUGGCUCCAUUGUCUGAGACCUUCUUCAAUCACAUCCCUGUUACCGUGCAGACGAGUGCAUUUCUGGCCUGGGAACCCUGUCUCCCAGGCAACCCGGCUCGCUCACAAAAACAUACCACUUCGCAGAAGAGCACAUUAGAAUUAAAUAUAAAACCAAGGCUUUUCCAUCUUUCUCCAUGUGUUUGGGCUACGCCGACUUUAUUUACAGAGUCGCUGAGGCCAAGGAAGACAUCCCUUCUCGGGGGACAACCGCCUGUGCUGAGCAAAACAGCGGGAAGAAAAGGCUCUCAGACACGGUCAGAAGGAAAAAAGCAAGAGCUGGAGAACCACACCACGUAGAAGACGAACAGCAACUGCCUCCCUUCUCUUUUUAAUGUAAGAUAUCUUGUACAUACAAGAGAGUAGGUCGUGUAGGCUCAGCUUGAAAAAUAUGUAUAAAGCAAAUACCCUUGGAACCAUCAUCAAAGUCAGACACACAUCAGGGCCAGGGUCUCAGAGGCCCAUCCCCCGUGAGCCCCUCCUGGUCACAGUUUCACGGGAGCAGACGUUGGGGGUGGGGUGGAGAGGAGAGGACCCAGGAGCAGGGAGGUGACGUGCUGGGAGGCGAGAGCAGGGGCGGGUGGCAAUGGCCAAGUGGGUUUUUAAGGACAGAAAGCCUAGUGCUGGUGUUUUAGUUACCUGGGGUUAUAAGGUAGGCUUUUUUCGCCUGUAAGCCUCCAUUUCCAACAGAACGUGUUUAUGUAUCUGGCAGUGGGGCGGGGGGGCGCAGAGGGAAAUGGAAGCGACGGGUCCGUCCCAGGUUUGGGCUGAUCCUGCGGCAGAGACCAGGGAGUAUCCCAAGAUGCCGAGAGGAAAAGGAAAAUUCAAAGGACACUGCGCCUCAGAGUUGGGGGAGAACUCGGACACCCCAUGGGGACGUCCAUCCCAGGGAUUCUCCCCACACUUGCAUCCUGACCUCAACUUCCACAUGGGUCCUGUUCCUUGUCCAGGAGACGGGAGCCCAGGAAAGCCCAGGGAAGGAAAAGCAUAAGGGAAAAGGCACAUCCUCCCUCCCUCCCUUCCUUCCCUCCCUCCUUCCUUCCCUCCCUCUCUCGUGUGUUGCAUGCCAGGCGCUGUGAUAGGAGGACUGGGGGNGUGUGUGUUGCAUGCCAGGCGCUGUGAUAGGAGGACUGGGGGUUCCAGUGGGUUGUUCUUGCUGGGGGAGGGGUCUGUGCUCCAGCACUUCUCCCAGCCCCUCCCUUGGGCCUUUGUGGGGAGGGUGUGGGUGACACUUCAGGAGGACGCUCCCCUUUGCCCUUUUGGGGCCUUUGAGCAGCGUAUUUGAGACCUAUGGGAAGUG